Molecule: non-coding RNA, 72 nt
Organism: Gymnothorax javanicus (giant moray)
Lineage: Eukaryota; Metazoa; Chordata; Actinopteri; Anguilliformes; Muraenidae
Source: the annotation of a GenBank genome assembly
GGCACAGCACAGUGGUCUAGUGGGCAGUGCUGUUGCCUCACAGGUUGCAGGUUCAAAUCCAGCCUGGGGCCU